Molecule: ribosomal RNA, 244 nt
Filed under: uncultured Staphylococcus sp.
Lineage: Bacteria; Bacillati; Bacillota; Bacilli; Caryophanales; Staphylococcaceae
Description: partial 16S ribosomal RNA
Rfam family: Bacterial small subunit ribosomal RNA
Source: RNAcentral
CGGCGGACGGGUGAGUAACACGUGGAUAACCUACCUAUAAGACUGGGAUAACUUCGGGAAACCGGAGCUAAUACUGGAUAAUAUAUUGAACCGCAUGGUUCAAUAGUGAAAGACGGUUUUGCUGUCACUUAUAGAUGGAUCCGCGCCGUAUUAGCUAGUUGGUAAGGUAACGGCUUACCAAGGCAACGAUACGUAGCCGACCUGAGAGGGUGAUCGGCCACACUGGAACUGAGACACGGUCCAG